GGAAGUUAAGAAACUGUUUCUUAACUUUUAACUAAAAAAACUAAGAACCGGUUCUUAAAUAAGGACUUUAAGAAUCGGUUCUUAACCUUUUUAGUUAAAAGUUAAGAAACAGUUUCUUAACUUCC
This is a non-coding RNA of Brassica napus (rape), 125 nucleotides long. The record is from Rfam. NCBI's taxonomy places the organism in Eukaryota, Viridiplantae, Streptophyta, Magnoliopsida, Brassicales, Brassicaceae.